RNAcentral lists this long non-coding RNA (2218 nucleotides) under Limulus polyphemus (Atlantic horseshoe crab). RNAcentral's name for it is "uncharacterized LOC111085429". Lineage: Eukaryota; Metazoa; Arthropoda; Merostomata; Xiphosura; Limulidae. The record is from RNAcentral.
GCUCAAGUACAAGUGUUUAGUUCAACUCGUAUUUAAUAAUAGAAAUUCACGUUUUUUUCUGUUCUUUCCAUUUUUACAGUUGAACUUGAAGGUGCAGUAGUAGUGCGCUGGCUUACUUAUCUUAAUCAUUGAGUUAACGGCAAAAUAUUCUAGAAUCGUAAGGUGGAAUUCUUCUCGCGGAUGAAACUGAAGCCUAUUGAAGAUAGGCACAACGUUAUAUUCCUUUACUGUAAAUGUAAUUAAACAGUGGUUAGUGUGUCACUGUGUGAGAAGUCUGGUGUUGAAAUCCGAGGCAGGGAAGUAUAUUAGUUUAUUACGAAAAAAGAAAAUAUGUUAUUCAUUAGUGCCAAACUAGUGGUCGAACCUGAGGCUGAAGUUAGACCUAAAGAUGGGCCUUGUUUUUGAGAGGGAAAUAAUAUACUUAUAAUUUUAUAUAGUAAUUUGAGAAGUGCCACGGAAAGCUGUGUAGGCAAAAUUUUAGAAUGAAUAAUUUCCUAGGACUAACAUUUGACCAAAAAUUAACGUGGGUCAAACAUACAAAUAACAUUUUAACAAAAAUCUGGAAACGCACAAAUUAUGCAAGAAGUCUAAUAGGCAAAACCCAGGGAACAUCACCUGAUAACAUUAUUAAAAUAUACAAAACAUACAUUCGACCAAUAAUAGAAUAUGCCAGUCUGGCAUGGAUAAACACAGUUCCUAAGCACAUAAACAAACUACAAAGAAUACAAAACACAUUAAUCACCUCAGCAUACAGAGUCCCCUGUAGCACAUCAUCAACAUUUAUGCACAGAUACGCUAAUAUACAAACAAUAGCCGAUAGACUCUUGCCUAAUACUCUAAAUUACUUUGAAAAAAUUGGCAAAAGAACAACCUACUUUGUGAACUCAACUGUUAUUACAUACAUGAUGGAAAUAGACCUAUGCAUUAUGGACUUAUAUAAGCAAUGCAAAACACAGAAUGUAACUGUGGAUACGUACAUGGACAUUGCCCUGAAAGGGGUCGGAGCAAGUGCGGUUUACUCCGAUCCUCUUGUAGUAUCAACAAUCUACAUUCACAGAUGACAUACCACAGUCCGGAAAGGAGGAAGAGGUCCCAGCGCACCUGACCCUCCUAGGUCACAAAGACCUAAAUUCCUAUCAGGAAGAGAGAGAGUGCCACGGAAUGACCCAAUUAGCAUUAUACCAUGAUGCCUUCCAUACAAGGCUUUAGAACCUGUUUGGAUGGAUUUUUCUGACUGUAGUGAUUGAUGACUUGGGAAAAAGGUCAGGAGUGAGGAUGUUAAAGGAAACCCAGGUAUGAUUGGGAGAUUUAUGGUGACAUCAUCUCAACAACCUAUCAGUGUGUGUAUUGUUGUUUUAUCUAAGAGUAAUUUGAUAUAUAGAUUCAAUACAAAGAAACAGCAGUUAAUGGUUGGAAUAUAUGAGCAACUGUAAAUGAAUGUAUAAAGAUUUAAUAAAAGUAAAGAAAAAAUUAUACAAAGUGAUGAAAUGAAAUUAGUUAUAUGUGUUGAAUAAGUAGAAGUUUUUGAUUUAAUUCGUCCAUACUUAUGGUUUGACAUUAAGUUCUACAGUUUAAAAAACUGCUUAAUACAAACCAAGACUUAUUUUAUUUGUUGUCCUUCUAGUGUGAAAGAUGAACAGUUUUGGUAGUACAGGGGAUUUUGAGAUAAUGAUUCUUUAAUCAACUUUAGAAGAGAAGAAAUGGACCAAUACUGAUCCUGUGUCAUGGUUGCAGUCUCCACAAUCAUUUGUGUUAGUAUUCUAUUGUACAGAAAGUUGUUAACUUUGUAAACAUCCCUAAUCAUUUUUUUUUAUAAAUACAAAUGCUACUUAUGGGGAUACCACUAAUUAGGAUCAUGUAGGUACUUUGAUAAUAUUACAUCUUGCGUGUAAAACCUAGUAUUUGCCUAAAAUUUCAGUUGUACGCUGGUCAUAGUACGUGAUAUUUCCUUUGUGACCUAAUAUUUUGUUAAUAAUCCUUAAUGUUUUGAAAGUAACAUGUAAUUGGAUGUGUGUACAGAUGAUGUAUUGUGUCUUAGAAGAUCUUAUACAUGUAUAUGAGGGUUGGCAAGCCAAUCAAUUGACCAGUCAAAACCUACAUUAAAUAUUGUAGAUAACUUCAUAUUAGAUGAGGUUUUCUAAUAAAUUAUCAAGUCCCAAGUCCAACCCCAACUCCUCUACUUAGAGGUGAUGUUGGAAUUACACUCCUACUUAAAGAC